This 465-nucleotide ribosomal RNA is filed under the name uncultured bacterium. RNAcentral's name for it is "partial 16S ribosomal RNA". It matches the Rfam family "Bacterial small subunit ribosomal RNA", at positions 338 to 795 of the family's 1533-position model. The record is from RNAcentral.
CCUACGGGAGGCAGCAGUGGGGAAUAUUGCGCAAUGGGCGAAAGCCUGACGCAGCGACGCCGCGUGAGGGAUGAAGGUCUUCGGAUCGUAAACCUCUGUCAUCAGAGAAGAAAGGUCACUGUGCUAAUCAGCAGUGAAUUGACGGUACCUGCAAAGGAAGCACCGGCUAACUCCGUGCCAGCAGCCGCGGUAAUACGGAGGGUGCGAGCGUUAAUCGGAAUUACUGGGCGUAAAGCGCUCGUAGGCGGUAUGUCAAGUCUAGGGUGAAAUCCGUGCGCUUAACGGGGGAACUGCCUUUGAAACUGGGAAACUUGAGUGUGGGAGAGGAUAGUGGAACUCCAGGUGUAGGGGUGAAAUCCGUAGAUAUCUGGAGGAACACCAGUGGCGAAGGCGACUCUCUGGCACAUAACUGACGCUGAGGAGCGAAAGCGUGGGUAGCAAACAGGAUUAGAUACCCUAGUAGUC